UCCGUAGGCGGGCCUGUAAGUCAGUGGUGAAAUCUCAUAGCUUAACUAUGAAACUGCCAUUGAUACUACAGGCCUUGAGUAAAUUUGAAGUGGCUGGAAUAAGUAGUGUAGCGGUGAAAUGCAUAGAUAUUACUUAGAACACCGAUUGCGAAGGCAGGUCACUAAGAUUUAACUGACGCUGAUGGACGAAAGCGUGGGAGCGAACA
This 206-nucleotide ribosomal RNA is filed under the name uncultured bacterium. RNAcentral describes it as "partial 16S ribosomal RNA". It matches the Rfam family "Bacterial small subunit ribosomal RNA", at positions 568 to 774 of the family's 1533-position model. The record is from RNAcentral.